CCCGGUUUAUCCUACCUGUUGUCAUAUGCUUGCCUCAAAGAUUCAGCCGUGCAUGUGUAAUUAUGAACAAAUUCAGACUAUGAAACUAUAAAUGGCUCAUUGAAUCAGUUAUAGUUUGUUUGAUGGUAUCUACUACUCGGAUAAUGGUAGUAAUUCUAGAUCUAAUACAUGCAACAAACCCCGAAUUUUGGAAGGGAUGCAUUUAUUAGAUAAAAGGUCGACGCGAGCUCUACCCAUUGCAGCGAUGAUUCAUGAUAACUCGAUGUAUUGCAUGGUCAUCAUGCCGGGGAAGCAUCAUUAAAAUUUCUGCCCUAUAAACUUUUGAUGGUAGGAUAGUGGCCUACCAUGGUGGUGAAAGGUUAUGGAGAAUUAGGGUUCGAUUCCGGAUAGGGAGCUGGAGAAACGGCUACCACAUCCAAUGAAGGUAGCAGGAGCGCAAAUUACCCAAUCCUGACACGGGGAGGUAGUGACAAUAAAUAACAAUACCGGGMUCUAUGAGUCUGGUAAUUGGAAUGAGUACAAUCUAAAUCUCUUAACGAGGAUCCAUUGGAGGGCAAGUCUGGUGCCAGCAGCSGCGGUAAUUCCAGGUCCAGUAUCGUAUAUUUAUGUUGUUGCAGUUAAAAAACUCGUAGUUGGACUUUGGAUGGGCCGUCCUGUCCGCCCUAGGUGUGCACCAGACAUCUCAUCCCUUUAGUUGGCGAUGCACUCUUGGCCUUAAUUGGUCGGGUCGUGCCUCCGACGCUGUUACUUUGAAGAAAUUAGAGUGCUCAAAGCAWGCCUACGCUCUGUAUACAUUAGCAUGGGAUAACAKUAUAGGAUUUCGGUCCUAUUACAUUGGCCUUCGGGAUCGGAAUAAUGAUUAAAAGGAACAGUUGGGGGCAUUCGUAUUUCAUAGUCAGAGGUGAAAUUCUUGGAUUUAUGAAAGACGAACAACUGCGAAAKCAUUUGCCAAGGAUGUUUUCAUUAAUAAGGAACGAAAGUUGGUGGCUCGAAGACGAUCAGAUAUCAUCCUAAUCUCAACCAUAAACGAUGACGACCACGGGUCGACAAAUGUUUCUUUUAGGACUUCGCCGGCACCUUAUUACAAAACAAUGUUUUUGGGUUUUGGGGGGAGUAUGGUUGCAACACUGAAACUUAAAGGAAUAGACGUAAUGGCACCACCAGGAGUGGAGCCUACGACUUAAUUUGACUCAACAAGGGAAAACUUACCAGGUCCAGACAUAGUAAGGAUUGACAGAUUGAAAGCUCUUUCUUGAAUUUGUAGGUGGUGGUGUAUGGCCAUUCUUAGUAGGUGGAGCGAUUUGCUUGGUUAAUUUCGUUAACGAACGAGACCUCAGCCUGCUAACUAGGUAUACAGAGGCAUCCUUUUGUGGCUAGCUUCUUGGAGGGACUACGCCUUUUAGGCCGUGGAAGUUUGAGGCAAUAACARGUCUGUGAUGCCCUUAGAUGUUCUGGGUCGAACGCAAGCUAUGCUGAUGUAUUCAACGAUCUUAUAGGCUUGGCCGACAUGCCCGGGUAAUGUUUGAAAUUUCAUUGUAAUGGGUAUAGAUCAUUGAAAUCAUUGGUCUUCAACGAGGAAUUCCUAGUAAGCACGAGUCAUUAGCUCGCGUUGACUACAUCCCAGCCCUUGUACACAUCGCCAUCACUCCUACUGAAUGAAUUAUCUGGUGAAAUAUUUGUAUUGAGGCGAUGGGGGCGGUUCGCUGACAGCAAAGUCGCGAGAAGUCCAUUGAACUUUAUCAUUUAGAGGAAGGAGAAGUCGUAACAAGGWUUCCGUAGGUGAACCUACAGAAG
RNAcentral lists this ribosomal RNA (1794 nucleotides) under Solanum pennellii. RNAcentral describes it as "SSU rRNA". It matches the Rfam family "Eukaryotic small subunit ribosomal RNA". The record is from RNAcentral. Lineage: Eukaryota; Viridiplantae; Streptophyta; Magnoliopsida; Solanales; Solanaceae.